UUGGACGAUGGGCUUGCAAGUUUCUUCUAAAACUUGGUGAUCACAUCUGUUCCAUGUGGACGGUCUAGGUACUAGGGAUACAGUGGUGUGAAAAAUCACCCUACGCAGAUCGUUCCUGCCUACAGGGAAUGAGGUAGGGGGAUGAAGACAGAGAGGUGAGAGGAUAAGGGGGUGGAGUUUAUGGGUAUGUUGAUAACAAGCAAAAAUAUGAACUCUACAAUGUUAGAGGGAGCAAACGCAAUGAAGAGCAAUGAGCAAGGGAAGGAGCUAGAGAGUGGUCAGGGAAAGCCUGUCUGGCCAUCAGUGCUUCCCAACUGAUUGGCUAUUUUUUUAGAAAGACAUUAAUAAAGGAUGUGCCAUAGAGCGGGUGGAGGACUCAGUGGGCAGAAGAGCCACUGAAGAAUCUACUAGAUACAGAAAAUGAUGGUCAUAGGUAAUGGUGGUCGUUCAUUAUUUUUGCAUACCGAUAUCCAAUUGUUCAAGUGUCACUUGUUGAAAAGACUACCAUUUUCCUACGGAGGAAAUAAUCCAAGUUUUAAAAAGUUCCACUUAGUGGUCAUUUCUAUGAACAAAAUGAAUAGUGCUGGAUAACAGAUGAGACUUACAUGAUUCAAAGGCAGUUACGUGAAGCCCUGGGGAAGAGCUUUCCAGGAGAGGCAACGGCAGGUGCACAAGCCCCGAGGUAAGAAAGGGAAAUGUCAAGACCAGAAGGCAGGCUGAUACGGAGGAAUCUUCCAGAAGAAGUCCAAAGGAUGAACUGAGACUGGACUUGAGGCAGGACCUUGUGAGCCCAGAUGGAGGUGGCAAUUGCCAAGUGGAGAAUAAGAAGAAGUGGAAAAAAAUGAAAAUAAGAAAGAUAAUAGGUGGAAGAGAGUCAGGCAGAGUGAAGGAAUCAAAGAGCGGCACAGGACCCUGAGAUCCGCCUAGCAUCCAUUAACAAGUAUUCACGGAGCACCGAUGUGUCAGGAACUGUCCUCCGCCCUGGGACCAUGCUGGGACAUGGACCGAGAAUAGUCACAUGUCUGUGGAGCUAGUGAGGGAGAGAGAUGCCAAAUAAUUAUGGAAAAGGUAUAUCUGCCAAGUAGAGCCACCACCAUUUUGUUGCCUGGCAGAGGUGUGAGAUGCAAGGCUGUUUACAAAGCCCCCAGCAAGAGCAAUCCCAUCAUCAGGAGGUUUGCUUCCCCCCCGGGCCAGCCCUCUCGCUCUCCAUGCCCGUCUUGGCUGCAUGCGUUGUACCUAACACAUUUAACCCGCGUUUCUUAAGAGUUCUGCAAAAUGGUGUCUGCUGGUGUUUGCAAGGGAAGCUCCCGCUGGGCGUCCCGAGCUGGGUGGGAGCUGAGUGUGCGGUUCCCUAACGAGCUGGCGGCCGGCCUGAGCGGCUCUGAUCUCCAAUUCUGACGGCUUGUCCUUCAGGUGACCUAUAUUAUCUGGCACCUCAGUUGCUGCUCACAAAGAAAAAGUAUCACUGGAAGAAAGAAAAAAAAAAUCCCAAGUGAUUGUGUACAUGCUCUUUAUUGAGAAUAUUAAACUCAGACGCCCUCUGCUGGGCAAGACGGGAAGGGGAGGCUGGGAGUAGGGGAGGGUGGCCGGGAGGGCUCAGGAGAAGCCGGGGACGGCCUCCUUCCUGUGAGAUCUGUGGGCAUGAUUCAGGGCAAAGGGCGCCCAUCAGAGCUGCUUUAGGCAAAGGGAAAUACAAAACAAAAGUGAAACCGCUGACAAGGAAAUCAUUUAAUUGGGGAGAAAUGACAACUUCUUCACUUGGAUUUUUUUUUUUCCUGUUCCUAAAAUUGUUGCUUUUGAUAGGUGAGAGGGAAUGGGGUGGGGGAGACUGCUGGACACUGCCAACUUAUUCAUCAAGACAAAGGGUUUGGGUUUCAGGGAAGUCCUAGCAAAGAGUGUGGCUCAGCGGGUAGAAGGGUAGCUGAAAUACCAGGACAUUUUUGAGAGUGAAACAGAGUGCUAUGGAUGAUGAUGCGGACACAGCAGGUAUAGUCCAGAGUGUCCCAGGCAAAUCUGACUACCUAGUCCAGCACUGCACAGAGAGCUUUCUAGGAUGAUAUGAAUGUUUUGCAUCUGUCCUGUCCUAUCUAUCUAUCUAUUUAUUUAUUUAUUUUUGAGACAGAGCCUUUCUCUGUUGCCCAGGCUGGAGUGCAGUGGCACGAUCUCGGCUCACGGCAACCUCCAACUCUUAAGUUCAAGCGAUUCUCGUACCCCAACCUCCCGAGUAGCUGGGAUUACAGGCACCCGCCACCAUGGCUGGCUAAUUUUUGUAUUUUUAGUAGAGACAGGGUUUCGCCGUGUUGGCCAGGAUGGUCUCAAACUCCUGACCUCAGGUGAUCCACCUGCCUCAGCCUCCCAAAGUGCCGGGAUUACAGGCGCGAGCCACUGCGCCCGGACUGUCCUGUCCUAUAUGGUAACCACCACCCACAUGUGGCUACUGGGCUCUUGAAAUGCAGCUACGCAACUGUGAGGGGAUGAAUUCUUAACUUCAUUUAAUUUUUGUUAUUCUGAAUUUACAUUUAAAUAGUCACGUAUGUCUAGUGGCUAUCAGACGGUAGAGCUCUGGUCUUACUAUUCACAGGAACACACCGUGACCCCCAUUGACAGCAGCUAAGACCCCAGGAACAGGCUUGUUGCGAGAGGCCCUCCAAACAAUUUAUUGAAUGAAUAAAAACUCAGUAAUCAAAAGUCACAGAGAUAGAAAUUCACAACACUUCUUGGAGACUUAUAGGAGCUUCCAGAAACACAACUUCUCCCAGGGAGAGUCAAGAGAGCAGUGUCAUUUCCUAUAAAAUGUCCAAGGCCAAUCCCAGGUCCCGGUGUCAGCCCUUGCGUGUGGCACUGGCACCAGCAGCCAGAAAGGUUACUUGUGACUUGUUUUCAGUGCUUUCCUGGGAGUGUCCUGAAAGCUGGCAGUGUUUCUGCCUCGUCAGAAGAGGCCUCAUUCAUUUGGGGUUGUACCAGCAACUUAAAAAGUUUUUUUUUUUCUUCCCUCUUCCAGUGUUAAUAGAUUUUGAAAGAGGCAUUUUUGUUUCUAAUUACAAAUUCCUGGGUGAUGUCAUUAAGCCCUCAAACACCCGGUGAGGGCGGCACUGAAUGGGGAAAGACAAUAUGCUAACAAGUUAUCUGAGGGUGUCAGAAAGAAAUGAUGAAAAACAGUACAGUUGGGGGAAAUGUUUUCCAGCCUGCUUUCUGGUUUUAGCGACUGCAUGGGAAGAGAUAAGACACACAUGGCUUUUAUAAGGAGCCAUCGGGAUCUCUAGGGGACAUGAGGCAGGAGAAAAGAAUUGGGCUGAAAGCAUCCAAUCAUCACAUAUUCACGGAGAAAGAGAUUACAAUAUAGCAGAGGAAGCUCUUCCAGGGCUCCUACAGGGACCUUUGGGACAAAGAUUCAGUGGGCUUUGGGACAGCUUGACUUCAACUAGAUGGUAUUUGAAUAAUCUGCUGGAGAGAAAACAGAUAUAGCACACACUGUCACAUUUAGCGUUGAAACUCUCGGUUUGACUAUGAGUAAUGUUCAGCCAUGCCCAAGGGUCAGGCCUACACUCACUCAGAAACAAGUGGGGAAUUGAAGCAAUUAUUCAGAUAAUCCAUAGACAUAGCUACUGGCCAGUGCUGCACCCCUGAUUUAGCCCAGAAACAGUAAUGCUAUUAUAAGCUGUUGGUGAUUUGUGGAGCAAUCUUGAAUUUAUUAAGGAAAGGAGAUUAUAGAAAAAUCCAGAAUGCCAAUGGGAUGCAUUCAGGUUGAGUCAUGCAGAGUAAGGUGGGAAAUGGAGGGCCUCCCACCCCUGCAAGGAACAUCUUGCUUUAGGCCAAAAUGGAAAUAAAACUUUGGGUUGAAAUUUUGCAGAUGGUUUGUUUCUCCAUAUCACUGUUUUUACAUGUGUAGUUGAUAAAUUUCAUGUUGGAUUGUAUGUGGAUCAAAAGGCAGAAAAUGGUAAAAUGGCAUAUUAAGAAUUUUGAGAUAAUAUGAAUAAAAUAUUAUUUACAGCUGUUUCUUAAUUAGUACCUUCCCAUGAUUUUGAGUGGACUAGCCAGUGGGAAAAAUGUGUUCAUUUUCUUCAGUUGUUCAAAACUACUUUGAACAGAAUAUAGUUUACCUGCCUAUAAUGGAAAACCCAGAUACCAGCAGCUUAGGCAAGAUUUAUGUUUCUCAUUUACUGCAUAAUCUAGAGGUAGAUAGCUAGAGGCAGAGGUAUAAUCCAGAGGUACCUACCUAGAGCUGGGUAGCUGCCUACCUCUACUCUACCCCGUCUCUACUAAAAAUACAAAAAUUAGCCAGGCAUGUGCCUGUAAUCUCAGCUACUCUGGAGUCUGAGGUGGGAGAAUCGCUUGAACCCCUGGAGGCGGAGGUUGCAGUGAGCCGAGAUCGCGCCACUGCACUCCAGCCUGGGCGACAGAGCGAGACUCCGUCUCAAAAAAAAAAAAAAAGAAAAAAAAAGAAAAAAGAAAGAAAGAAAGAAGGGCGACUCAAUUAGACCCAAUUGGGGUAAGCAUCACGUAGACUUUACCAUUUCAAAGAAUCUUUAAAACACGGAAAGUAGUAGUUGAUGUGGUGUGGAUUUUAAGGCCAGAUUUUUUGACCCUUCUUUGAUCGUCACCUAGUCUUCCAGGUAGCAGAUGGUCACAUCGUCUUCCAGGGAGAAGGGCAGGAGGAAUCACUGAUGUCUGCACUCCUACGUGCAACCCCACCUCCACCUUUAAGGAGCUUUUGGGGAAGCCUCAAUCAAUGAUUCUGACAUCUCAUUGGCCAGAGGUCUGUUAAAUGGCCACCCCUAGUUGCAAAGGAGGCUGGGAAAUGUAGUUUUAAUCCCCCGCGACCCCUCCCCUUCGCCCUCACACACCAAGUUGAAAUCACGUUAUUAAUACUAAGAAGGGAGACUCAGCUGGGCGCCGUGGCUCACUCCUGUAAUCCCAGCAUUUUGGGAGGCCGAGGCAGGCGGGUCACCUGAGGUCAGGAGUUCAAGACCAGCCUGGCCAACAUGGUGAAACCCCAUCUCUACUAUAACUACAAAAAUUAGCUGGGCAUGUGCCUGUAAUCUCAGCUACUCAGGAGGCUGAGGGAGGGGAAGAAUCGCUUGAACCCGGGAGGCGGAGGUUGCAGUGAGCCAAGACCACACCACUGCACUCCAGUCUGGGCAACAGAGUGAGACUCUGUCUCUAAAUAAAUAAAUAAAGAAGGGAGACCCAAUUAGGGGUAAGCGUCAUAAGUCUAAAGUAAAGUAGACUUUACCAUUUCAAAGAAUCUUUAAAGCAUGGAAAUUUGUAUCUAGUUUUACAAAAAUCAUCCUAACUCAGUAGUUUAUAGGAGCAACUUUUAUUUGUAACUACCAUGGAGCAAAAUAAUCAUUAUGUAUAAUAAUUAUAUAUGUCGAGGAGACAGUUAAGGGGUGUGUGUGUGUGUGCUCUAAGAAUGUAAACCUCAUUCUUACUGGCUGAGCUUAACUGCACUGCUCCUUGGGAUUUUAAAUAAAUUAGCUGUGUCUUUGUCCGUCAGCAACUCAGUCUCCCUCUAUUAGCAUCUGUGCUGAGUAGUGCACUCCUGAGAACUAAAUGAAGAGCUUCAGUAGUAGUUUCGUAAACCUGAAAUGCAGUGUCUAGAGCAAGUUCAACUUCAUUAGCGAUUUGAAGAGAGAUUUAUCGAGCCAAAGGGAAGACCUCUCUGAACGGAGUUUGUCUGCCUUGAUUUAAGUAACGAAAACAACCAUGGCAUUUGAGUGGUGGUUAGGUUCAGGUCUGAAACAAUUUCUUUGUGAGUCAACUGUUAUUAGCGGUGGAAGAAAGGAUGGGGAUGAAGGGAAGGGCCGGGAGUAGAGACUAUGGCGGGGCAUAGGGGCUGAUCACACAGGGUCUUGCGGGCACAUUAACAGACUGAAUUUUGGCCUUUGGUUCGGUGGUUGGAAACUCUUUUAGGGCCAGGCAGUAACAUCCGUGCAUGAGGCUGGCCAGGGUACAGAAAUAGAGAAAGGAGAAAAACUGCAGGGCUGUAAAGCAUGUGACUCCCCAAAGCAAUGGUCACUACCUGGCUCUAGAGGACUGAUUCCAUGGGAGACUAAAGACCUACCGCUACAAGCCAGUUAGAUUUUUUUUUUUUUUUUUUUUUUUUUGAGACGGAGUCUCGAUCUUGUCACUCAGGCUGGAGUGCAGUGGCGCAAUCUUAUAUCACUGCAACCUCUGCCGCCCAGGUUCAAGCGAUUCUCCUGCCUCAGCCUCCUGAGUAGCUGGGAUUACAGGUGCCUGCCACCAUGCCUGGCUAAUUUUUGUAUUUUUAGUAGAGGCAGGGUUUCACCAUAUUGGCCAGGCUGGUCUCGAACUCCUGACCUUGUGAUCCGCCCGCCUCAGCCUCCCAAAGUACUGGGAUUACAGGUGUGAGCCAUCGCGGCUAGGGCAAGUUAGAUUUAUCAGGAAAAGCCCAGUAUCUAAAUACUUGUAUGAAAUCUGACGUCAUAAUGUUGGAUCAAAUUUUAUAAUGGGUCAAGUGCUGAACAAAGGUGGCCACAGUUAGCAACUGUUUGAUGGGCAACAUGGCGUUAGCAAGGCACUCUGAGCAGGGAAGACACGGAUGCUUUCCCUUUCUCCUCCUCCUCUCUGCCUCCACCUCUUCCUUCUCCCCUCCCUGCCUCCUCUGACAUGAGGUUCUCUCCAGCGGCCGUGGCAAGGAUGCUUUUGAAUGGAGUGGAGGGUAGCACAAGGCAGGUAGGGUAGGCAUUGCCUAAUGGCAGGAAAGCCAGUUAGGAUGUUCUGGUCACAGUCAGGAUUUGAUUUGUUGAGAGUUGGAAUUAAGGCAAUGACAGGACAGAACGAUGGGCUGAAUUCUGGAAUGAUUUCUCAGUCACUCACGGGAGUGGUGUCUGACUGGAUAAGGCACAGGUGGGUGUUAGGAAAGGGAGAAUUUGAGGAAGAGAGUGAUUUUGUUUGAGGUCGAAGUCACCAUCUGGGAUCUUGGCAGCUGAACCUACUCCACAGGGGUGUUUUGUUGAACACAAGGGAUUAAAAUUUCUUUUGAAUUGAUUUUCAUUUCUUAAGAAAAUGCGAGCACUUAUAUUUAAAGCUAGAUUUCCACCUCCUUUUGGAGAAAAAGAAAUCUGAGAGUAUUAGGCAUAGAUUCCAAUAAAGCAACAACAGCUGGAGCUGGGGGGUGGGGUCGGGGCUUGGGUAUUGGGGGAGGUACACGGAUUCCCUAGUAUUUCUUUGCCCCACCUGCCUUCGGUAAGUAUUUGAGUCUGUGACCCCUGAGGGAACCGGUUGUGCAAGUCAUAGGAAUAUACGAGAUCAUUCAGGCACAACAAGGAGAAUUCCAGGCAACAAUCACAUUUCAGGACAGAUAGAAAAGGAGAAGAUUGCAAAAGGGAUUUAGAAGCUUGGGCUGGGAGAGCGGGCAAGCAACAGGAAGGCAAAGUGGAAUAAAAGAUAGAAGUGGGGAACCUGCUGUACGAGGCUACUGAAGAGCCGAGUAGCAUGGGGUUGAAAUGGGUUGUUGAUGUAAAUGUGCCGCGUUGUGGUGGUGGUGGAGAGGUUGUCGGAGCCUAUUAAUGUUAAAAGGAAAAGUGCGCACUCAAUCAGCCUGCAGGUGCAAUUCUUUACCUGCCCUAGAGAAAUGAAAUUCUCAUGGGUGCACAGGGAGAAGUGGUAAAGGGUGCCCUUUGUUGUAUUAUUAUUUGUUUCAGUGAAGAACUAGAAACAACCUAAACGUGCAUCAGGAGUUCAAGACCAGCCCGGCCAAGAGACCAGCCUCGCCAACAUGGUGAAACCCCAUCUCUACUAAACAUACAAAAAUUAGCCGGGCGUGGUGGCGGGCACCUGUAAUCCCAGCUACUCAGGAGGCUGAGGCAGGAGAAUUGCUUGGACCCCAGAGGCAGAGGUUGCAGUGAACCGAGAUCGUGCCACUGCACUCCAGACUGGGUGACAGAGCAAGACUCCAUCUCAAAAAACAAACAAACAAAACCAAAAAGAAACGCCCCCUCACACAAAAAAGUGGAGUUAUAGGAAAAUAUAGCGUUAUAGAUGGCCUGUGCUGCGGCUUCCUCUCCCUCUCCUCCUCCCUCCUCUUCCCCCUCUCAUUUCCACCCCCACUUCUUUAGAAACAGGAUCUGAAGAAAACGCAUCACAUAUACAACACUAGAUACCCUUGAUGUUCCUGAGAUUGGGAAUAAGUGGUUAAAAGUGAAUUUAGGCCAGGGGCAGUGGCUCAUGCCUGUAAUCUCAGCACUUUGGGAGGCCGAGGUAGGAGGAUCACUUGACGUCAGGAGUUUGAGACCAGCCUGACCAAUAUGGUAAAACCCCAUCUCUACUAAAAAUACAAAAAUUAGCCAGGCAUGGUGGCACAUGCCUGUAGUCCCAGCUACUUGGGAGGCCAAGACAGGAGAAUCACUUGAACCCGGGAGGUGGAGGUUGCAGUGAGCCAAGAUUGUGCCACUGCACUCCAGUCUGGGCGACAGAGCGUGACUCCAUCUCAGAAAAAAUAAAAAAAUAAAAAAAAAAUGAAUUUAAUGUUUACCUUUAUCUUUAAAUUGUUGAUUAUCAUUUUAACUAAGAAAGUGCUGUUGUGUAUCACUUGUGCAAUUAGAAAUUAAAGCAUAGCACAAUGGAUUUCGUGUUUUGCAAGGGCUGUUUCAGCAGUUAUGGGAGUGGAAAAUAGAUUACAACAUUCUGAGAAGUAAAUGGGAGGUAAAGAGGCAGAAAUUGAAAUUAAGGGGAAGUGAAACAUAGGGCUACAGGAUGGGGGAAGACAGUCAAGGGAAACUUCUGUGUUGGUUUGCUUUUAACUGGAGUGACCCAAAAGCUCACUAAAAGGGCAUGUUGGCUUCUCCUCAGAGGGCGUUGCUGCUACGGUACAGCAAUGGAAUUUGUUUCUGAGCUGAGAUCACUCCCGUAAUUUACAUCCCAACUCUUCUGAUACAGAAAAGCCUAGAAGGAAGUUGGUGUGAAAUAAAAAUAGUUUGAUUGGUAGAAUCAAAUUAUAAUCUCUGUAUAAAGGCUAAACAUUUGCAUGGGGGAAAUGUUGCUUGAAAUAGGAUACAAAGGAAUGUCCACCAAUAGAGAAAUUAUUAAAUGUUAUAAUAACCUGUAGGGUAGACUAUUAGGUAGUUAUUAAAAAUCAUGUUUUUCAAGUUUUAGAAAAAUUUUAAAACAUGGGAAAAUGCUGGUAAUACAAUGUUUAAUUUUAAAAGUGCAUGCUAUGAAACUUUAUGCAGUUGAGUGCUUACAAAAUAGUAUUUCUGCAUAAAGAAAAAAAGAAGGAAAAGUGGUUAAAAUGUUAACAGUGGUUCUCUCUGGGUGAUGAGGAAAUUGGUGAUUUUAUUUUUCAUGCAUUUCUGUUGACACAACAAUUUUCCGUCAAAAACAUCAUUGCUUUUAUAAUUCCCCAAAGGAACUGUUUUUAAAACUGUAGUUUGAAAAUCAUUUAGGAGGGAAGACAGCCAAGGAAGGGUUCCUGUUUGACAAGCAAUCAGGCAAGCAGGCCGUAAGCAGCCUGGGCUUGGAUUUUGGAGUUUUUUUUCUCCCACCUUUUCCCCAGAUAUCAAAUGUCAGGCCUCCACACCAUUAAAAGGACCUAGAACCAUCAACUUCUCCAAGACUGGGUAACAAAAGUCAACUCUUUCCUGCUCCUAACUCAAGGGGGUGUUGUGUGUUCUUAACUUUAUAAGAGAAACACAGAACUCUAGGGAGCUAUAGACACAAGCUAGCAACAAAGAUGUGGCCCCUGUCUCCUCAGGCUGACCUGAACAAGUUGUGUGAUUCGCUGAGAGAAGGACUCUGCCCGCCUCCCUCAUACUGACCCCGCUGCUUUCCCCAACAUGGCAGGAGGCGAUGCAGCCUCGUGAUUAAGUCUGCAAACUGGGAAUCACACACUCCCAUUUGGAAUCUUUGCUUUUUUGCUUAACAGCUCUGUGGCUUCUGGCAAAUUCUGUAACUUCUUUACACCUCAGUUUUCUCAUGUGUAGAAAGGAGAUGAAGAACCCCACCUCACUGGGUUCCUCUGAAGAUUAAAUGGAAUAACUCCAUAGAGGAGAACAUGCAACAGUUACUGAAUCAAUGAUUUCAUUCUCAGGUUCUCUAAUUUUAUUUUCUUUUCAUCCUGCCUUAUGGCCAUAAUUCAGGUGAUAAAAUAAGAAAGGACAUGGCUGGCUGUGGUGGCUCUUGCCUGUAAUCCCAGAACUUUAGGAGGCCAAGAUGAGAAGAUUCCUUGAGGCCAGGAGUUCAAGACCAGCCUGAGCAACAUAGCUCAAAACAUUCUCUACAAAAAAAUGAAAAGAUUGCUGGGCAUGGUGGCAUGUGCCUGUAGUCUCAAUUACUUAGCAGUCUGAGGCAGAAGGAUCUCUUGAGCUCAGGAGUUUGAGGCUGCAGUGAGCCAUGACUACGCCACUGCACACCAGCCUGGGUGACAGACCAAGGCCCUGUCUCUUAAAAUAAAUAAAUAAAUAAAUAAUAAAAAAAAGGAUAAAGAAAAGAGAGUUUGAGGAGAAAGAUUCUCUCUCUCUCUCUUUUUUUUUUUUUUUGAGAUGGAGUCUCUCUCUGUUGCCCAGGCUGGAGUGGCAGUGGCAUGACCUCAGCCCACCUCAACCUCUGCCUCCCGGGUUCAAGCAAUUCUGCCUCAGCCUCCCGAGUAGCUGGGAUUACAGGUGCCUGCCACCACGCCUGGCUAAUUUUUGUAUUUUUAGUAGACAGAGCGUUUCGCCAUGUUGGCCAGGCUGGUCUUGAACUUCUGACCUCAGGUGAUCCACUCGCCUCGGCCUCCCAAAGUGCUGGGAUUACAGGCGUGAGCCACCAUGCCCAACCCACUGUGGCUUUCUAAAGCCAGACUUAGAGUUAACCAGAUCUGCUGAGAUCUUUCCUUACUUACACCUACUAAAGGUGAAUUUAUUGUUCUUUUGUUAAUGAAUACAUCAAAAUACUCGUAUCUUUUAUUAAUCUCAGAUAAAAGAUCACUAGAGUAUUGGAGGAAUCGUUUCUAAUACAACUUUUUCAGAAGAGGGGAAAGCAGCUUUUCAAAAUGAAAAUGAGGUCACUAUUUCGUUCACGUGACUGUCAUCUUGUGAAGUUCAUUUUAUUACAACCUGAUCUUAUAAAAAGAAUCUCAUUUUGGUUUAACUUUUUUAGGCUACCUAACAGAUAACUUAAAAGUUUAGCUGAGAGUAUUUAUUUCCAAAUUCCACAGUUGUCUUAAGAAAUUUUAGAAAAAAAGGCAAAACACUGUGUACAAAACAGUUCAAUGUGGUGUUAUCUAAAAUAGUGUGGUUUGUAGUAAUUCCACGUAUAAUAGUACAGCAAAAGAAAAAUGACUUAUUCAAGGCUUGUUACACUGACACCAUGAGAUAUCUUGUAGCCAUAAAAUUGUAAUCGUGUUGUUUAUGAGGAAAAAGAAACCAAAGCGAAAUAUAUCUGAUAUAAUUUUACAUACACAAAGCAUAAAACAAAAUAGUUUGCACUGAACUGGGGAGUCAGCCAGCGAGCAUUUAAUUGAGUGCCUACUAUAUGCCAGCUACUUUCAUAAGUAUGAAAUGGUCAAUGUAAAAAAUAUUUGCAAGGACUGUGUAAAAUUAAGAUUGUGCCGGGGAAUGGGAUUAUCAUGGUUGUUUUUCCGUUCUCUCCUCUAACGUUUAAAAAUACGUUGUGGUUUCAUAAUAAAGAAAAAUACAUGUCUGAAACAGCGUCAUAAUAAACGUUGCAGAUGCUGAUUUUGUGCUAACUUGAUGCCAGGCACUGCUCUGAGCAGUGUGUGUCUGUAUCUGAUUUACUUCCAUGAUGAUGGUAUUAUCACCAUAGAACAACGCCAUUAUUACCAUAAUAGCACCACGCCCAUUUUAUAGUGAAGAAACUGAGACAGGAUGUUCUAGCUCAGUGUCUUAGCUUGAACAAGCUCUCCCACUUAGCUCAGUGGGAAUCCAUGUUCUUAACCAAGACUUCCAGCAUAUCACACAGGGGUCUGCAAUACAGUUAUGCAUGUGGCAGCUCCUAUAGUAUUUUCUCGACAUUUGGCCUUUGGAGUGGCUCCCUCCCAUUAUACUGGGGUGUUCUGUGUUUUUCUGAUUUAUCACUCCCCUAAAUCUUUACUCAUAGGCAAUACUCAAUCAGGCAUUGAAUAAAUCAAUCAAUUCCCCUCUCAUAAAAGAGGCCAGGGAUAAUGUUGUUCACUUUCUUUUCUUUUAGAAGUGUCUGUCAGCUCCCUGAGAUUUUCAUAGAAUUUUUUUUUCCUACAUGCCCCACCACUGCCAGUUUCAACAGACAAGGCUAACUCAGUUCACUAGACAAGCAAACACUUCAACUGAGAAGGCAGUGAUAAACACAGGAAGUUAUUUCACCCUGGGAAUAUUCCGGAAACCAACUUUGAAUAAUUGCUUCAUGUUCAGUUGGACACAAGUUCACUCCCAGGUUGACUCACGUAUGUAAAUGCUCCUGACUACCAUCUGACUGCAUCACACACACACCCCUACCUUUCCAAAAUGCUAACUACACAGCAUGAAUCAGCCGCUCCUGAUUCAGAGCCCCGAGUCCUUCAUCAUCAACCUGGGCUCCUGCCUUUGUCUCCUACCCUCAUCCAGUCCAACAGCAAACCCCACCCGCCCCAUCUUCUAAAUAAAUCCAGAAUCUGAUCACUCCUCACCAUCCUGCAGCAGCACCUCAGUCAAAUUCCAGUCAUCACUGAGCUGCGUGACAGCAACAGCCUCCAAACUCCUCUCCCCGUUUCUUCCAUUGGAAGGCUUGGAGCUGAUCUGACUUAAAUUUUAAAAGACUCAUUCUGGCCGCUGUGUGGAGGGUGCACUGGAAGCUCACCUCUUUCUCUGGACCAAUUUCUAUCUGCUUUUUCCCUUCACAUCUAAAAUAGGUGCUCCCCGGGGAUUUGGCUCCUGAUCUUAUACAUACAUGUAUAUAUAUAUAUGGGGCGUGUGUAUAUAUAUACACACACACACACACGCACACACACAUAUUUGAAAUGGAGUCUCACUCUGUCACCUAGGCUGGAGUGCAGUGGCGUAAUCUCGGUUCACUGUAACCUCUGCCUCCCGGGUUCAAGUGAUUCUCCUGCCUCAGCCUCCCGAGUAGCUAGGACUAUAGGCAGGCACCACCACGCCUGGCUAAUUUUUGUAUUUUUAGUAGAGAUGGGGUUUUGCCAUGUUGGCCAGGCUGGUCUUGAAUACCUGGGAUUACAGGAGUGAGCCACUGUGCCCGGCCGCUGAUCCAAUAUUUUACAAAGUUUGUGAAGAGGAUGACUAAUUCGUGGAAUCACAGGUUUUAAUAAGUUCAGGGGCACUGGGCUCAGCAACUUGCAACUGGUUAUUUACUGCAGGGAUUCUCAGAACCUUUAGUAUCCUCACGUGUCCUGGGGAUCCUCAAGAGAAAGACAACAGUGGGUGUUUUCAAACCAUGAUGUUGUCUCAGAUUCCUCCAGGGCUUGCUCCCUUUGUCCUUCAGGUUCAUGCUCCAUGUCACCUCCUCAGAGAAGCUGUCGCUGGCUAUCCAUAACAUCCCGUCCUCUUUCCCUGACUUAGUAUUUUGGGAUGUGUGGCAUUUAUCAACAUUAAUAAAACGAUAUCUCUUUUUUCCUAUUUAUUACUAUUAUUUUUGCUUAUGUAACCUCUUGAAUUAUCUUUGCUGAUUAGUUUCUGCUACUUAGAGUCAGUAACCCAGAAUCUAUUAAUAUAACCUUCAGGAGUGUGCAUGACGAAGUUAUAUUCUGUCCUGCUUAGUCUUCAGUGGUCACACGUUUUUUGUUUUUUGUUAGACAAAACAAAACAAAAACCCAAAAACGUGUGACCACUGAAGGUCAAACGUGUGACCCUGCUCUGUUGCCCAGGCUGGAGUGCAGUGAUGCCAUCUCAGCUCCCUGCAACCUCCGCCUCCCAGUCUCAAGCAAUCCUCCCAUCUCAGCCUCCUGAGUAGCUGGGACUAAGGGCACACACCACUACACCCAGCUAAUUUUUUUGUAUCUUUUUUUUUUUUUGAAGGAGUUUUUGGUCUUGUUGCCCAGGCUGGAAGCAAUGGCGGGAUCUCGGCUCACUGCAACUUUUGCCUCCCGGUUUCAAGCAAUUCUCCUGCCUCAACCUCCUGAGUAGCUGGGAUUACAGGCAUGCACCACCAAGCCUGGCUAGUUUUGUUUUUUGUUUUUUGUUUUUUUUUUGAGACGGAGUCUCCCUCUUUCGCCCAGGCCAGACUGCAGUGGCGCGAUCUCGGCUCACUGCAAGCUCCGCCUCCUGGGUUCACGCCAUUCUCCUGCCUCAGCCUCCAGAGUAGCUGGGACUGCAGGCGCCCGGCUAAUUUUUUGUAUUUUUAGUAGAGACAGGGUUUCACCAUGUUAGCCAGGACGGACUCGAUCUCCUGACCUCGUGAUCUGCCCGCCUCGGCCUCCCAAAGUGCUGGGAUUACAGGUGUGAGCCACCGUGCUCUGCCUAGUUUUGUAUUUUUAAUAGAGACGGGGUUUCUCCAUGUUGGUCAGGCUGGUCUCGAACUCCCAACCUCAGGUUAUCCGCCCGCCUCAGCCUUUCAAAGUAGUGGGAUUACAGGCGUGAGCCACCGCACCUGGCCUUUUUUUUUUGUAUCUUUAGUAGAGAUGGGGUUUUGCCAUGUUGCCCAGGCUGGUUUCAAACUCCUGAGCUCAAGCAAUCUGCCUGCCUUGGUCUCCCAAAGGAUGGGAUUACAGGCAUGAGCCGCCCGUGCCCGGCCUUUGUUUUUCCUAUUUAUUAUCUGACUUUCCCCGCUAGACUGUAAGAUCCAGGAGAGCAAGAGCUUUGUCAGCCUCGCUCUCUGUGCAGCUAGACUGUAAGAUCCAGGAGAGCAAGAACUUUGUCAGCCUCGCUCUCUGUGCAUCUUCAGUUUCUACAACAGCACGUAACAUGCAGUAGGUGCUCUCAUUAAAUCUUGUUGAAUGGACACAGGUGUAUUGAUUUUCUAUCAUUAUGUAGCAAAUCACUGCAGAGUUAGUCACUUAAAACAAUACCCAUUUACUGUCUAACAGUUUGAGACUCUGGGUAUAAGUUAGAUGGGUCCUUCGCUUUGAGUCUCACUCGGCUGAAAUCAACAUGUUGGUCAGGGUUGUCAUCUCAUUUGAGGCCUGGGUCCUCUUCUGAGCCCACUAGUUUUUGACAGAAUUCAGUUCCUGGGCAGUUGUAGGACUGAGGGACUCAGCUCCUGGAGCUCCUAGUUGGCCGCUGUGUUGUUCUCUCCACAGCAUGGCAGUUUGUCUUGUGUCCCAUACAAAGCCAUGGGACAACGUCUGCUGCUGCUUCCCUAGUUCCUUUUAAGGGAUCACCUGAUUAAACCAGGCCUACCCAGGAUAAACUUCCUCUUGAUCAAAUCAGAGUCAACUGACUGGGGACCUUAGAUACAACAUUCUUUUACCUUUGUCAUGUAACUUAAUCAUAGUAGUGAAAGCUCAUCAAUUCAAAGGUCCAGCCAAUGUUCCAGGUAAGGGGAUUAUGGAUGCCAUGUACACCAGGUCAAGGAGGGGACAAUCUUGGGGACCACUUUAGAAUUCUGCCUAGCACAAUGUGAAGCUUUAUAUCCCUUAGAAUACCUUAUAGGAUUGGUGGUCCUCUGGGAAAUGCUUUGAGAAAGGUGCUUUCUCUUCCCCAAUUCAUCAACCUCAUUUCUUAAACUAGAGAGCAUAUCUGCAGACAGCUCUGGGGGCUGAGCAGGUAAGAAGAGUUCUGUGGGGAUUGUGUAAAAGUGAGACUAAGCCCCAGCAAAGGGGAAGGGUCAUUUGGUGUCCUAUAUUUUGUCCGUGAUCCCCCAACUUCCAAUAUUUCAAGAGAACAUGGAAAUCUGAAUUUGCAUAUGCAUUUUUCUGGUGUUUAAAUCUUGGAAACAAAUUCAAGUUUUAGCAGAAUGCGUUGCCCUUUCCCGAAGAAACAUGACUGUAGGCUGUACUGGGGAGGUUGCGUUGAAAAUUGUUGCUGAAAUGAUCACUGUCUUUUGAAGGCUACUGCACCCAUAUCUUUGACUGGAAACUCUUCUCUGAAGUGUCAUUUACAUUUCUACUUGCUUGCAUGGUGGAAAUGUUUCUUGAGCUCAGAACAGAAAGUCCACUAACAGUUUCAUCAUAUUUUUACUCCCUCCUCAUAGUCACACGUCCUUCCUGGUGGGGUUAAGGGUUUUCACAUACACCUGUUCAACCAACCUCAGACCUCAGUGAUGUUUAUGACUUGUUCUGUCUCUGUCACUUUCCUAACAUCCAACUAUCAUGGGGUGAAAAAAAUCGCUCUUAGAAAAGCUGCUUGAAGCCCUCUCUCUCCUGGCAGGAGGGCAGGAGGAUGUAUUUAUGGAGAAAGUUUGCUUUUUCCUUGGAAAAUCAUGCUAAUAGAACUUGAAUUACAGAAUUUAAAGCCUGUCAGGGAGGAAAGUGACAAAUUAACCUACUUGGAAGAGAAAUGGAAAAGCAGGUCUUAUGAAUGAUCAGAUUCUGUCACUUCCCUGCCCAAAAUGCUCUAGCAUCUUCCUAUCAAGUUCAGGCUAAAAUCCAGGUCUUACCAUCAUGGUUACAAGGUCUUUCUGGUUUCUGACAGCCUGUCCAACAUUAUCCAAGGGCACACGAGCUCUUUUCAAUGUGUCAAAUGUGCAUUCACCUUAGGGCUUGUACAGUACCUCUUCCUUUUGUCUGGAAUGCUUUUCUUCCUCAUAUUUGCAUGAUUCACUCCCCAGUCUAUGAAACUCUGUGGUCAAAUGUCAUCUUAAAAGAGCCUUUCCCUGAUCAACCCAACUAAAUUCACAUGCCCUUUUCUCGGUAUUACUCCACUUUUUCAUUUACUAAUAGCAUAUUCCAGUUUUUGACAUCUUAUCACUAGUUGUUUGUUUAUUGCCUGUUUCCUGUACCAAAAUAUAAGCUCCUUGAAGGGAAGAACUUUGUUUUGUUCACUUCUUUAUUCUAAGAAAUUAGAACAGUGCCUUAUCCACAGCAUAGAUUCUCAGUAAAUAUUUAUUCAAUGAAUGAACGAAUGCAAGGAUGGAUGAACAAAUGAAUGGUAGGUCUGUUAAUCUAUCAAUAAGAGGUGUUGCAUCUCUGCAAAGAGAUGUUUUGUUGUACAUUUAUUUUCUUUUCAUAACUGUCUUUAUUAUCUCCUUGUUUCUAAUUUUUCUAGGUUUGAUUGCUUUUAUUUUUCUAAUUUUCUAAAGUGUGUGCUUAGGUCAUUGAUUUUCUUCCUCUCUUGUUAGCUAAUAUGUGUAUUUAAAGAUAAACAUUUCCCUAUAAGCACAGCUUUAGCUGAAUCCUACAUUUUGAUAUGUCAAAUAAAUAUUUUCUAAUUUCUACUGUGAUUUCUCUUAAAUCAUGAGCUAUUUGGAUUGCUUUGCCUCAUUUUCAAUUAUUUAGACAUUUUCUUAUCCUUAGUUAUUGGUUUCUAGCUAAUUCCACUGUAGUCAGAGAACAUAUUGUGUGUUUUUAGCAUUUGAAGUUUGUUGAGACCUACUCCAUAGUCCAGCAUGUGACAACUUUUGUUAAAUGUUCCGUGUGCACUUAGAAAAAGAAGAGGUAGUGUGCAGUUAUUGGUUGGUUUGUUCUACAAAUGUCAGUUAGGCUGAGUGUGUAAAUAGUGCUGGUCAAAAUUUCUCCAUUCUUACUGACUUAAAUUAUCUUUUUGUUUAUCAGUUGCUGAUAGAAAUAGGUUAAAGCCUACUUCUAUAAUUGUGGAUUUAUUUCUCCUUUUAGAUCUGGCAGUUUCUGCUUUAUGUAUAUUGAAACUAUUCUAGCAGGUACUGUAGAUUUAGAAUUGCUUUUUCUUGUAGGAUUGACCCUUUUUGUUAUUAUAAGAUAAUCCUCUUUACCUUUUAUAUUGUUUCUUUUCUUAAAGUGUAUUUCAUCUGA
Molecule: long non-coding RNA, 17794 nt
Filed under: Homo sapiens (human)
Lineage: Eukaryota; Metazoa; Chordata; Mammalia; Primates; Hominidae
Description: HSALNT0401910
Source: RNAcentral